This 429-nucleotide small RNA is filed under the name Malus domestica (apple). The record is from RNAcentral. Lineage: Eukaryota; Viridiplantae; Streptophyta; Magnoliopsida; Rosales; Rosaceae.
GGCCUUUCGGGAGCUCACUGGCUUCGGGUUCCAUUGGAAUUCCGAAGUUAAGCGAGUUCUUGCGAGAGCAAUCCCAUGAUGGAUGACCCACUGUGAAGUUCUCGUGUGAGUUCCCAGAAACAAAACCGUGAGGGCGUGGUCGGGCCCCUAAGGGGGCGGGAUGUGACAAUUUGGUAUCAUAGCCAAUCAUUGGUCGGAAGUGUGCCGACGAGAACAUCGGGCCCUUAAGAGGAGUGGAUUGUAACAUCCCAUAUCGUCCAGGAGAGUGGAUCCUGUAAGCCUUAUAUGUAUAUUCUUAUCUCUACCUAACACGAGGCCUUUUGGGAGCUCACUGGCUUCGGGUUCCAUCGGAACUCCGAAGUUAAGCGAGUUCGCGCUAGAGCAAUCCCAUGAUGGGUGACCUACUAGGAAGUUCUCAUGUGACACAAA